Molecule: non-coding RNA, 1240 nt
Organism: Pelobates cultripes (western spadefoot toad)
Lineage: Eukaryota; Metazoa; Chordata; Amphibia; Anura; Pelobatidae
Source: the annotation of a GenBank genome assembly
GUCCCUUUAAUGUACAGUGGGGUAGUUGCUUGCAACUUAAUACUACCAAAGGGAGAUCUGCUGCCAUCUUACUUCUCGUUUCCCUGCUCUCUUGUUUGGGAGGCUAGUUGCAAUGAUGCUGCCCGUGCAGCUAGUACAGCCCAGAAAUCGUUAAAGAUAGCUUCCAAUUUUGCCGUAGAUCUCUCCACAUGUAUACACUGGCACCGCUCCUUCAGAGUAUCCUCUCAAGUAUCAAGUACCACCACCAUCUUGUUCUUGUAGGCGUGCGCUCCAAGGUUCUGUACCAAUGAUGGUGAGAAUUUUGGCACUGGUAUGCUGACAGCGCAGUGGGGACCGGGAUAACCCCUGCCGGCCUACAGGGGACGGGACACAAGUUUUUUUUGUAAGAGAAUGAUGCAUUGUGGCACAGAAGAUCAUUCGUUUCUCCCACCCAGUGCACACACAAGGCCUCAGCAGCUCCGUCAAACAAGACUGAGUGAGCACCGUUGGAGACCAGACCGGGUCCCUCUGUCCGGUAUCAGGAACAGGUAGGACACUGUCUGUCUCAGGUGUGAGUUCUGGGUGUCGUAGUAAACUGCUGAAACAAGAAGCUUGCUGAAGAGGUACUUGCGACCCAAUGCCAUGAGGUUCAGUCCCCACCCCGCAUGCUCACUUUUAAUGACCUUUAAUUGCCAUAAAUCUCGCAAUCCCCAGGUUAGGUACCAAUUUAGUUUCCCUGAGAGAUGAAAGUGCUAAGACCCGAACUGUCAUUGUAGUAAGAUAAUGCUGUUAGUCAGUUUCGAGAUGUAUGUUGUCAGCAUUGAGUCCAAAAGUCAAUACAUGUAACUUUAACAUAGUGAGCUUCUCUCAUUACUGCUCCGCCUUCUCACUUGACUGUUACUACAUAAUACAUAACAUUCAGGGUUAUUCACUAAAGAGAACUCCAGGUGAAUCAAAAGCGAAUUUCCUAUUUAAAGGGAUUCUCUAGUGCCAGGAAAACAAACCCAUGUUCCUGGCACUAGAGAAUCCUACAGUUCCCCCAUCCCACGUCGCUGAAGGGGUUAAAACUCCUUCAGAUACUUACCUGAAUCCACCGGCGGGGGAGACCUAAUGGGCAUGCGCGACAAUGGGCGCGCACAUAAGGCCUCCCCAUAGAAACGCAUUAUUCAAUGCGGACGUUUAGACAACCAAAAGUCGUCUAAGAAGUCGGAAGUCCCUCUAGUGGCUGUCUGAUAGACAGCCACUAGAGGAGGACUUAACC